GGGGGGGGGGGGGGGGGGGGGGGGGGGGGGGGGGGCGGGGGGGGGCGGCGGGGCUGGGGGCGCGCGGGGGGGUGGCGCGGGGGGAGCUGCCCUUGGGUUCGGGAUCCCUCCCCGCCCGGGGUGCUAAUCCCGGGUAAUGUCUUCGGCCCCAAGAGUUCUCGCCGUUGGAUGGGCCCGCGUUUGAUUAGCUGGUUGGUAGGGUAAAAGCCUACCAAGGCGACCAUCCAUAGCUGGUCUGCGAGGAUGAUCAGCCACACUGGGACUGAGACACGGCCCAGACUCCUACGGGAGGCAGCAGUGGGGAAUAUUGGAAAAUGGGCGAAAGCCUGAUACAGCAAUGCCGCGUGAGUGAUGAAGGCCUUAGGGUUGUAAAGCUCUUUUACCCGGGAUGAUAAUGACAGUACCGGGAGAAUAAGCGCCGGCUAACUCCGUG
RNAcentral lists this ribosomal RNA (433 nucleotides) under uncultured bacterium. RNAcentral's name for it is "partial 16S ribosomal RNA". The stretch from base 45 to 433 matches the Rfam family "Bacterial small subunit ribosomal RNA", at positions 39 to 507 of the family's 1533-position model. The record is from RNAcentral.